GGAACGCUGGCGGCAGCCUACACUUACAGUGAACGGAUCUCCGGGAUUAGAUGGCGGACGGGUAGUAAGGAACGUGCCCUUGGUUCGGAACAACUCAGGAAACUUGAGCUAAUACCGGAUGUGCCCUUCGGGGGAAAGAUUUAUCGCCAUUGGAGCGGCCCGCGUCUGAUUAGCUAGUUGGUGGGGUAAAGGCCCACCAAGGCGACGAUCAGUAGCUGGUCUGAGAGGAUGAUCAGCCACAUUGGGACUGAGACACGGCCCAAACUCCUACGGGAGGCAGCAGUGGGGAAUCUUGCGCAAUGGGCGAAAGCCUGACGCAGCCAUGCCGCGUGAAUGAUGAAGGUCUUAGGAUUGUAAAAUUCUUUCACCGGGGACGAUAUGACGUCCCGGAGAAAAGCCCGGCUAAUUCGUGCCACAGCCGCGGUAAUACGAAGGGGGCUAGCGUUGCUCGGAAUUAUUGGGCGUAAAGGGAGCGUCAGAGCGAUACAAGUUAAAGGGAAAGCCAUGGCUCAACUUGGAAUUGCUU
RNAcentral lists this ribosomal RNA (526 nucleotides) under uncultured Caulobacter sp. RNAcentral describes it as "bacterial SSU rRNA". It matches the Rfam family "Bacterial small subunit ribosomal RNA", at positions 30 to 626 of the family's 1533-position model. Lineage: Bacteria; Pseudomonadati; Pseudomonadota; Alphaproteobacteria; Caulobacterales; Caulobacteraceae. The record is from RNAcentral.